AUACGGAGGGUGCAAGCGUUAUUCGGAAUCACUGGGCGUAAAGGACGCGCAGGCGGUUUGGUAAGUCAGAUGUGAAAGCCCACGGCUCAACCGUGGAAGUGCAUUUGAAACUGUCAGACUUGAGUACUAGAGGGGAAAGUGGAAUUCCCGGUGUAGAGGUGAAAUUCGUAGAUAUCGGGAGGAAUACCGGUGGCGAAGGCGACUUUCUGGCUAGAUACUGACGCUGAGGCGCGAAAGCGUGGGGAGCAAACAGGAUUAGAUACCCUAGUAGUCC
This 274-nucleotide ribosomal RNA is filed under the name uncultured bacterium. RNAcentral's name for it is "partial 16S ribosomal RNA". It matches the Rfam family "Bacterial small subunit ribosomal RNA", at positions 523 to 796 of the family's 1533-position model. The record is from RNAcentral.